Molecule: long non-coding RNA, 740 nt
Organism: Anthonomus grandis grandis
Lineage: Eukaryota; Metazoa; Arthropoda; Insecta; Coleoptera; Curculionidae
Exons: 3
Source: RefSeq, a predicted model, not a curated record
UCUCGGAAAAUGUUGUAAUGACAUACUUCUUGGAGCUUGGUUCCAAGAUGAAAUAUUCAACUUUAUGGGUCAAUUAUUCAAUGCUGAAGGCAACCCUUGAAAUUAGACAUGAUGUGGAUAUAUCUAAAUAUUCAAAACUUCGGGCAUUCCUGAAACGGCAAGCACAUGCCUAUAAGCCAAAAAAAUCCAAGAUUUUAACUAAAGAAGAAAUAAACAAAUUUAUUCAGGAAGCUCCAGAUAAGGAAUAUUUAAUGAUUAAGGUAGCUGUAAUAUUUGGAAUUUCCGGAGCUUGCAGAAUGGACGAGCUGGUUAAAAUGACUGUACAAGAUAUACAAGACCUACUAUCUAAACUUUUAGUUACCAUACCGGAUUCAAAAACCAAUACAUCAAGAUCAUUUAUAGUAAACGAAAUGUACUUAAAUCUAUACCGCAAUACCAAAAUGAAAAAGUAGUAAGAAUUCACCAAUUUAGAAACAUGCCUAAAAUAGUGGCCAGUUGUUUGAAUUUGCCAAAUUCGAAAGAAUAUACCGACCACUAUUUUCGUCGGUCUUCUGCUACAAUGCUUGUUGAUUCUGGUGGAGAUAUUAUUAGUUUAAAGAGACUGGGUGGAUGGAAAUCAACAAACGUCGCUGAAGGAUAUAUAAAAGAGUCUCUUACUAAUAAGAAAGAAGUGUCAAAUAAAAUUUUCACAGCAGAAAAAAAUCAAGAAAGUAAAUCUAAUAUUUCUAAUACUGCAGUAA